AUGGCCAGCAGCUGGCAAGAGGGGAAGCUCGAGGCCGUCGAUCUGGAGCACAUACCGGUCGAUGAAGUGUUUGAGAACCUUCAGUGCAGCCACAGGGGGCUCACUUCCAAGCAGGCACAGCGGCGGCUGCAGAUCUUUGGCCCGAACAAGCUCGAGGAGAAGGAGGAGAGCAAGUUCCUCAAGUUUCUUGGGUUCAUGUGGAAUCCACUGUCAUGGGUCAUGGAGGAAGCGGCGAUCAUGACCAUCGCUCUGGCAAACGGAGGGGGGAAGCCACCAGACUGGCAAGACUUCAUCGGUAUCAUCCUCCUGCUGCUUAUAAACUCGACAAUCACUUUCAUAGAGGAAAACAAUGCUGGAAAUGCUGCCGCCGCGCUUAUGGCCCGCUUUGCACCAAAAGCCAAGGUUCUCCGUGAUGGUCGUUGGACCGAGGAGGAGGCCGCCGCCCUUGUGCCCGGGGACAUCAUCAGUAUCAAACUUGGAGAUAUCAUUCCUGCCGACGCCCGCCUCCUAGACGGCGAUCCUUUGAAGAUUGAUCAGUCUGCCCUGACCGGAGAAUCGCUACCAGCCACCAAGGGGCCUGGUGACGCCGUCUACUCUGGUUCGACGGUCAACCAAGGCGAGAUCGAGGCCGUUGUCAUAGCAACUGGUGUGCACACUUUCUUUGGGAAGGCCGCACAUCUCGUCGACUCCACCAACCAAGUUGGCCAUUUCCAACAGGUGUUAGCAGCCAUCGGGAACUUCUGCAUUUGCUCCAUUGCUGUGGGAAUCGUCAUCGAGAUUAUUGUCAUGUAUCCUAUCCAAAACAGGGCGUACCGCCCCGGGAUCGACAACCUUCUGGUGCUUCUCAUUGGAGGCAUUCCCAUAGCGAUGCCCACAGUCUUGUCGGUCACCAUGGCGAUUGGAUCUCAUCGCUUGUCUCAACGGGGAGCUAUAAUAAAGAGGGUGACUGCAAUCGAGGAUAUGUCUGGCAUGGAUGUUCUUUGCAGUGCUAAAACUGGGACCCUGACUCUAAAUAAGCUCAGUGUGGACAAGAACCUUAUCGAGGUUUUUGAAAAAGGAGUAACUCAGGACCAGGUAAUUUUGAUGGCUGCUAGAGCAUCCCGGAUAGAAAAUCAAGACGCCAUUGAUAUGGCAAUAUUUGGGAUGCUAGGCGAUCCAAAAGAGGCGCGUGCUGGUGUGCAAGAGGCCCAUUUCCUGCCGUUCAACCCUACCGACAAAAGAACCGCGUUGACAUACAUUGAUGGCGAUGGAAAGAUGUACCGUGUUAGCAAAGGUGCACCAGAGCAGAUUCUCAACCUGGCCCACAACAAGUCAGAGAUCGCACAAAAAGUCCACGCUGUCAUCGACAAGUUCGGGGAACGUGGACUUCGGUCACUUGGUGUAGCAUAUCAGGAUGUGCCAGACGGGAGGAAAGAGAGUGCGGGUGGGCCGUGGCAUUUUGUUGCUCUCUUGCCACUCUUUGAUCCACCGAGGCAAGACAGCGCUGAAACAAUUCAAAGGGCACUUAGCCUUGGUGUGAAUGUAAAGAUGAUCACAGGUGACCAGCUAGCGAUCGGGAAGGAAACAGGGCGUCGUCUAGGAAUGGGUACAAACAUGUACCCUUCAUCUGCUUUGCUGGGGCAGAACAAGGAUGAGUCUAUUGCUGAUUUACCAGUCAAUGAUCUAAUUGAGAAAGCCGAUGGUUUUGCUGGCGUAUUCCCAGAGCACAAAUAUGAGAUUGUGAAACGCCUGCAAGCACGGAAGCACAUUUGUGGAAUGACUGGCGAUGGCGUAAAUGAUGCACCAGCCCUGAAGAAAGCUGAUAUCGCCAUAGCAGUUGCCGAUGCGACCGCUGCAGCGAGGAGUGCUUCUGAUAUCGUACUCACUGAACCUGGUCUAAGUGUGAUCAUUACUGCUGUCCUUACCAGUCGAGCAGUUUUCCAGCGGAUGAAGAACUACACUAUCUAUGCGGUCUCAAUUACAAUACGUAUUGUGCUCGAAUUUAUGCUACUUGCCCUCAUAUGGGAGUUUGAUUUCCCGCCAUUUAUGGUCCUGAUCAUCGCAAUUCUGAAUGAGGGCACCAUAAUUACAAUAUCGAAGGAUCGGGUAAAGCCUUCUCCGCUACCUGACAGCUGGAAGUUGGCUGAAAUUUUCACAACUGGGGUGGUUCUUGGCGGAUACUUGGCAAUGACGACUGUCAUUUUCUUCUGGGCUGCAUACAAGAUAACUUUUUCCCGGAGGGUCUUUCAUGUGAAAAGCCUUGAGAAGACAGAUCAAGAUGACUUCAAAAUGCUCGCCUCUGCUGUAUUCCUUCAGGUCAGCACCAUCAGCCAAGCUCUCAUCUUCGUUACAAGGUCCCGAGGCUGGUCGUUCGUCGAGCGCCCCGGUUUUCUCCUGGUCUUCGCUUUCUUGGUCGCGCAGCUGAUAGCUACAGUGAUCGCUGUAUACGCCGACUGGGCAUUCACUUCGAUCAAAGGCAUCGGAUGGGGCUGGGCCUGUAUCGUGUGGCUCUACAACCUCGUCUUCUACUUCCCGCUCGACAUCAUCAAGUUCCUCAUCCGAUACGCUCUGAGCGGGAAAGCACGGGAUCUUGCCAUUGACCAAAGAACCGCGUUUACAAGGAAGAAGCACUUUGGUAAGGAAGAGAGGGAGCUUGAGUGGGCCCAUGCACAGAGGGCACCCCGUGGGAUGCAUCCGCCGGAUGCCAAGGUGUUCCCUGGGCAUGUGGAGACGGUCGUGAAGCUGAAGGGCCUCGACAUCGACACCAUUCAGCAAUCUUACACCGUGUGA
RNAcentral lists this ribosomal RNA (2769 nucleotides) under Triticum aestivum (bread wheat). RNAcentral describes it as "partial small subunit ribosomal RNA". The record is from RNAcentral. Lineage: Eukaryota; Viridiplantae; Streptophyta; Magnoliopsida; Poales; Poaceae.